RNAcentral lists this ribosomal RNA (242 nucleotides) under uncultured bacterium. RNAcentral's name for it is "partial 16S ribosomal RNA". It matches the Rfam family "Bacterial small subunit ribosomal RNA", at positions 78 to 334 of the family's 1533-position model. The record is from RNAcentral.
GCUUGCACAGAUUAAUGAUAGUGGCGCACGGGUGAGUAACACGUGGGAACAUACCUUUUGGUGGGGGACAACAGUUGGAAACGACUGCUAAUACCGCAUACGCCCUUAGGGGGAAAGAUUUAUCGCCGAGAGAUUGGCCCGCGGAAGAUUAGAUAGUUGGUGGGGUAAUGGCCUACCAAGUCUACGAUCUAUAGCUGGUCUGAGAGGACGAUCAGCCACACUGGAACUGAGACACGGUCCAG